This 156-nucleotide small RNA is filed under the name Streptomyces sp. RNAcentral describes it as "c-di-AMP sequence". It matches the Rfam family "c-di-AMP riboswitch aptamer (ydaO/yuaA leader)". From Rfam's summary of the family: This family represents a conserved RNA structure found upstream of the ydaO and yuaA genes in Bacillus subtilis and related genes in other bacteria. Lineage: Bacteria; Bacillati; Actinomycetota; Actinomycetes; Kitasatosporales; Streptomycetaceae. RNAcentral also lists the same sequence under 1 other name. The record is from RNAcentral.
CCCACUCACUCACUUACGCACGGCAGGAGCGGGGGACCCAGGUAAGCCGCCGGUCCGGGAUUCCGGAACGGCUCGGGGUGAAGUCGCAUGCCCAGUGCGGCCGGACAUCUCCCGUCCGAACCCGACAGCUCACCUCGCAGGCGACGGAGAGGAUUU